Phyllopteryx taeniolatus (common seadragon) is the source of this 1214-nucleotide long non-coding RNA. RefSeq lists it as uncharacterized. The record is from RefSeq and is a predicted model, not a curated record. Lineage: Eukaryota; Metazoa; Chordata; Actinopteri; Syngnathiformes; Syngnathidae. The transcript has 3 exons.
UGAGACAGUUCUACACAGCGGUCAUCGAAUCAGUCGUGUGUUCUUCCAUCACAGUCUGGUUUGGUGCUGCUACAAAAAAGGACAAACUCCGACUGCAACGGACAAUCAAAACUGCUGAAAGGAUUGUCGGUACCCCCCCUACCCACCAUUGAGGACUUGCACACUGCCAGAACUAAGACAAGAGCGUGCAAAAUCCUCUCGGACCCUCCGCACCCCGGUCACCAGCUCUUCCAGCUCCUUCCCUCAGUGGGGGACAAAGUGGACACGACGAGAAGCCAUCAAGGAGGCUGUUUGGCUGAGGUCUGAGUCGGUUGGUGAUCAGUGGCUCGUCGGAACAUGAAUCUAAGAACAAAGACUUCCCUGUGGUGACAGACAACAGAUUGCCCCAAGAAGGUCUGCGUUGUCUCCUUUUGAGCUCACGGCUCGGCUGGGGGAGGAAAGAUGAUUGAUGACUGUUCAGCAAAGAACAAUCUCCCUCUCAUCACCUUUUAAAAGGAGUGGUCAUUUCUCAUUGAUGGAACACAGACAUCCCCCAGCGGUGACCGAAAACACUGCAAGAUGGACUCCUUGUGACUGUAACCCGAGUAUUAUAGAAUGAACAAUAAAAUUAAGGAAAUGCCACUCCGGUACAAACUUGUACCAGUCUGCAUGACUACCCUGAGUGUCCGCCUUGAUUUCUGUGUCAUUAAUAGAUAGAUUCUGCAGGUUUUUCGAUGACUCUGUUCACGAGCACUGUGCCACAGGGUUACAAGCAUGAAAUAUAUGAAUCAUGUGACAAAGAACAGAUGACAUAGUGUUGUGUUGGACAGUAUUAUUUGAUCUGCCAGACCCCAGACUGAAACAAGUUCAUUCUUGUAUUUAAUCUCUGCUUGAGAUAGUUUCAAAAUUGGGAACCAUUUUGAAUAGAAAGGGGAGUCUGCCCAUGAUUAUGGCGCGCACGCAUAAUUAAGAUACUUAGAGAAGAAACCGAGAUGGAGUCGAAUUUGGACAUUAAGGUGGACGUGACGCGGAGGACAGCUGUCCACCGCCAAAAUGUGGCCAAAACAGGCGGAGGAGCUACAUGUAACUACGCUACAUGUUCAGGGAUUCGUCCCGGCAUCACUGGUGUCACAGAGGAGGAGUCGUCCACCGUCCACCUCCGGUGUCCCCAGCGUCUCAGACACAAUUACGCUUCAACAACGGGCUGCUGCUGAACCCGUGCAGACUGAUAAAGA